UACGAAGGGGGCUAGCGUUGCUCGGAAUUACUGGGCGUAAAGCGCACGUAGGCGGCUUUCUAAGUCGGAGGUGAAAUCCUGGAGCUCAACUCCAGAACUGCCUUCGAUACUGGAGAGCUUGAGUCCGGGAGAGGUGAGUGGAACUGCGAGUGUAGAGGUGAAAUUCGUAGAUAUUCGCAAGAACACCAGUGGCGAAGGCGGCUCACUGGCCCGGUACUGACGCUGAGGCACGAAAGCGUGGGGAGCAAACAGG
Molecule: ribosomal RNA, 253 nt
Filed under: uncultured bacterium
Lineage: Bacteria
Description: partial 16S ribosomal RNA
Rfam family: Bacterial small subunit ribosomal RNA
Source: RNAcentral